AUCCAGCUGACAAGUCCUAAAUAGGACGAAAUGCGCUUUAUCCUGGAU
RNAcentral lists this non-coding RNA (48 nucleotides) under Trichobilharzia regenti. The record is from RNAcentral. Lineage: Eukaryota; Metazoa; Platyhelminthes; Trematoda; Strigeidida; Schistosomatidae.